GCUGUGUACUGGCAAAGUGAGUAAUUGUUAUUUUCAUGCACCCCAUUAUUGGGUGGUUUACUUUUAAAAAGUUGCCAGAUUGUUCCACUGACAAGACCAAAAGUUACCUGGAUGUUUUGCAGUCGUAAACUGAGCUAUCAUCAUAGCACGUCGAGUCUGAAAUACCCCGAGUGGAGGAGUUUAAGUAUCUUGGGGUCUUGUUCACGAGUGAGGGCAGGAGGGAGUGAGAGAUCGACAGGCGGAUCGGUGCAGCAUCUGCUGUCAUGCGGACGUUGUAUCGGUCUGUCGUGGUGAAAACUCACUUGUAUUCUUUGGCGUUCGACUCAGCAUGACUUAGAUUUGUUCUUGAUUUUACUGCUUGGUGCUUUCUACCGCCUUUAUUACCGAUUCGUCUUACUGUUUAUUGUGUAUGUUAAAUCGCUCCAUGUACAGCACUUUGUAUGCAGCGAUGGCUGUUUGAAAGUGCUCUAUAAAUACUGUUGACUUGACUUGACUUGACUUGAAGAAGGAGCUGAGCCAAAGGGCGAAGCUCUCAAUUUACCGUUCGAUCUAUGUUCCAACCCUCAUCUAUGGUCACGAUCUAUGGGUCGUGACCGAAAGAACGAGAUCACGGAUACAAGCGGUCGAAAAUUAGUUUUCUGCGCAGGGUGUCCGGGCUUUUCCUUAGAGAUAAGGUGAGAAGCUAGAUCACCCGGGAGGGGCUCAGAGUGGAGCCGCUUCUCCUCCGCAUCGAGAGGAGCCAGAUGAGUUGGCUUGGGCAUGUGAUUCGGAUGCCUCCUGAACGCCUCCCUGGUUAGGUGUUCCGGGCAUAUCCCACCGAGAAGAGACCCAGAGGACAACCCAAGACACGCUGGAGAGACUAUGUCACCCAGCUGGCCUGGGAACGCCUAGGGAUCCCCCGGGGAGAGCUGGAAGAAGUAGCUUGGGAGAGGGAAGUCUGGGCUUCCCUGCUAAAGCUGCUGCCCCUGCGACUCGGCCCCGGAUAAGCGGUAGAAGAUGGAUGGAUAUCCUCGCUUGCUUUUCUGUUUUGAUUUAUUAUUUUCAAUUUUCGUAGUUUCAUUGAAGUCAUCAUUAGUUUACGUUUUGCGGUCUUGAACGCCUCUCGAGUCGAACUGAAGAAGAGAAGGCACGGAGACGGACAAAGACGUAACUGCAUUUGCUGAGACUGUUUUAAAAAAAACACCACAACUCUCCUUUUUUCGGAGCCGCAACAAAAACUUAUUAAAGCGACACCGUUCACUGAAUCAGCAGCAAGUUAUAACAUUGUAACCAUGUCUCCAGCAAGGAGCCAUCUUGAGGUCAACAUAACACCGUAAUGACCAUACACAAGACGCACCGGAUUUUAACGCGCUCGGUGAGCUUUUAAGAAAAUGGAAGACUUUUUGGUGCGCCCUAUAGUGCAGAAAAUAUGGUAAUGAUUUUGACCGUCUCAACAAAUACAGGUACGUCUUUGUCAGUCUCCGUGCCUGAUCUUCUUCCGUUCGACUUGAUAGGGGUUCAUGACCACCUCCAAAAAACGUAAAUUAACGAUUCCUUCAAUGAAACUACGCAAAUUGAAAAUAAUGCAUCAAAACAGAAACUCAAGUAGGGAAAUCACAAAAUAAAUUCUAUAUCCCUCCUACAGAAUUUAUUUUGUGAUUUCCUCCUUUGUGAAUACAGUAAAUAUUCCCAUCCCCGGAAUUCUAUGAAAAGGAAUAUCCUUCACCCGUAAUAAAAACCUAUGCAUUAACAUUUUGACUACGAUAUUACGUGGUACCGGAACUUACGUAAGCGGAAAUACCAUUAGCCGUAACCCGGAUGGAGGCGUAAUGCCGUGGGAGCUUAAAUACAUGCAACGCCCACCCAAUGCGACGGAAAAGGCAUGACGCUGAGACACGUUUUCACUUCGCGUUUUUCGAUCAUCGGAUUUGAAACGACGACGUAUCAUGGAAUCGAAACGUAAACGAACUUUAAUGACUGGAGCGGAGCGAGUGAAAUGCAUCCGUUUGAGCGAGGCUGGACACAAAGUUAAAAACAUCCAACAGAUACUUGGAGUCGGAAAGACGCAAAUCUACGAAACCUUAAAAAACAAGGCAUCGAUUCAACUCCUGAUGACAAGCCACCAUCCAGCAAGGAAGCAAUGCAAAUGGCAACAAAAAUCCUUCAGUAUGCACAAGAAUUAACAGACAUCGGUGAUCAACGGGACAGUUACUUGCAACUAGCAGGAAAACUGUAUGACACGCAGGCAAACAUUGUCAUAAACCAAAUAAUGCAUCCAACAAAACAAUCCAAAAUAGACACAUUUUUUUUCCCAAGACAAGAAAAAAUAAACAUUAAAAUACAUAUUUUACUGUUGUGAUCUUUUUUUGAUACACCUGUAUUGCAGUUUUUGUUAUAUAAACAGUUUUUGGACAGUA
Molecule: long non-coding RNA, 2396 nt
Organism: Hippocampus zosterae (dwarf seahorse)
Lineage: Eukaryota; Metazoa; Chordata; Actinopteri; Syngnathiformes; Syngnathidae
Exons: 2
Source: RefSeq, a predicted model, not a curated record